GAACGCCCGGUCUGUCGGUGAAAAGCGAUGCGAGACCGGCGCGAAACGCUCUCAGUAAUCCUCCGCACUCCGGUCCGCUUAGCACGGAGUCCGAGAGUGGCAGAGCUCCGUAAAUUCGGAGUUCGCUAUUCGACCACAUGCUCGGAAGGAGGAGAUCAUGGCCGGGCCGGCCUGGGCUGCCGAAGCUCAGCAGCUCUGAAGUCCUUUGUGUAAGUCGCGCCGCCUUUUGGCGAGAGGAGCCAUACGAAAGCGGAUGGCCGGCAAAAGCUCCCAGCGCGCGAGUUGAGAGGCUAAACCGAGGUCAGCGGGCGUUC
RNAcentral lists this non-coding RNA (314 nucleotides) under unclassified sequences. RNAcentral's name for it is "raiA RNA". It matches the Rfam family "raiA RNA". The record is from Rfam by way of RNAcentral.